Long non-coding RNA from Mytilus californianus (California mussel), 551 nucleotides. RefSeq lists it as uncharacterized. The transcript is spliced from 4 exons. The record is from RefSeq and is a predicted model, not a curated record. Lineage: Eukaryota; Metazoa; Mollusca; Bivalvia; Mytilida; Mytilidae.
UAAGAUAGGCAGCAAUCCAAAUGCAUUUGUUUAUUAAAAGGAGAAUGUGCGAUACUUAGAGAACUUCUGUAAAGGUCAAUAAAAAAAAUCAAUUGCCUAUGGGGAUCCUACUGUUUAACCUCGUAAUUCUCGUGGAAUUUGGAUAUAUGUACCACGACCCAGAAUGGAUGACAGCACCACAAAUGGAUUUAUACAGUGAUUUGAUCGAGUACACUCUGUAUGAGAAGAAAGUUUCUUGGAAUGAUGCUGCUACGAUCUGUGCUAAAGACGAGGCGCAUCUCUUGUCAAUAAAUUCGCAAGAAAAAGCUGAUUUAAUACAAGAAUUUAAACAAGGGUUAUGGGCAUCACUAACAGAUUUUGAUUACUGGUCAGGACUGUCAGAACCAAUGCAAUCUCACUAUAUCUGGGAGGACUGUACGAUAUUGUCAUCUACUUUCGGCAAUAGAAAAGAGGAAAGUUAUAGUGCAAAUGAGUUGUGUUAUCUUGUUAAGAAAGACACACUUAAAUGGGAGAGAAAAAAAUGUGGAGAAGAACAUUAUUUUGCAUGUGAA